This 109-nucleotide non-coding RNA is filed under the name Frigoribacterium sp. Its description in RNAcentral is "TPP sequence". It matches the Rfam family "TPP riboswitch aptamer (THI element)". From Rfam's summary of the family: Vitamin B(1) in its active form thiamin pyrophosphate (TPP) is an essential coenzyme that is synthesised by coupling of pyrimidine and thiazole moieties in bacteria. The previously detected thiamin-regulatory element, thi box was extended, resulting in a new, highly conserved RNA secondary structure, the THI element, which is widely distributed in eubacteria and also occurs in some archaea. RNAcentral also lists the same sequence under 1 other name. Lineage: Bacteria; Bacillati; Actinomycetota; Actinomycetes; Micrococcales; Microbacteriaceae. The record is from RNAcentral.
GCGGACAACCACGGGAGCUCGCCGAGCGGGCUGAGAGGAAGCGAACCGCGCUUCGACCGUCGAACCUGAUCUGGGUCAUGCCAGCGAAGGAAGGAAACCUGAUGAGCAA